GUCAUAUACAAGUGCAUUACACCCUAGAAGUGAGAUUAUAUACUCUAUAGUGUAUAAUGCCUUUUACUCCUUAGGAGAAGCGCCGAUUUCAGGAGGAACAGGAUCGAGCAAAACGCCAACUGGAAGACAAGAAAAUCCGACUGCAGCAACCAAAAUGAAUUUGUCAUUUGGGAAGUUGGAUCUAAGAUGGCCACCUCCUUCACUACAGAACGGACACAAAACACACCCUGAGGCAAAGGAACAGCGACAGAAGAACCUGUUAGUCCAGCGCUGGGAAACAGGUCUAAUCAAUGGACACGGCAAUGACCACCACAACUGACCACAGAGCAAACACACCUCCUGAAGACCAGCGUGAACAUCUCCAGCAUUAACUUUAAACCUAAUCUGGGCUGUUUAAUUCACCUGCUCUGUCUCUGUCAUUAACUCACAGCUCACCUGCUCUGGGCUGUUAAACACAAAUGUUAAUCAGAACAUCACACCUUUGCACUACUGCAGCUUGUUAUCUAAUCUUCUCAUUAGCAUUUAGUAUAUCAGAUUAGCUUCACAUAAUACACACACGCAUUCACAAAGGAAAAAAUGUUAAAGUAUUUAAUUCAUUCAUCACUUAGCUGGCUAACCAGUUAGCCACUAGCAAGUUUUGGCUGUUUAGUGAGUUAGCAAACAUAUGCUAACUAGCCAAACUGUUUCAUUACUGAAUCCUUAAUAGGUGUUUAUUCAUUUUUUUCUGGUUCCAGUGUUGAUAGAGUGCUAGCUAGCUUGUUGGUAAUUUGUUUUGUCGAUUAUGCUUAGCUACCAACAAGCUAGCUAUUUAGAUUUUUUUUUUUUUUUUUAGCCACACCACUGACUGGUUUUUAGUUUAGCACUAGCCCAUUAGCUUUAUUUAAUAUUUUACAGCAUAUUUACAGCACUAUUAGUUAGCUAUUUAGUUUUAGCCAAGAGAGAUUCUUGUUAUUUAUUAUCAGCAAGCUAAUGCAAGCUAGCUAGGUCUAGCAAACACUUGUUAUUUUUUAAAAAUUAUUAAAAACACAUUAAACUGAUUUCACUGUGCUACAUGAGCGUGAGAUGUGUGCACACCACAGUGACCUAGAUUCCCCUCACAAAGCCUAAGGAAAAGAAAAAUAAUGUGUUUCUCCCUUGUACAAAGUUUUUGGGCUAGUGUCAGGUAUCUGUGUAGUUUCUGAAAGCUGUACGCCCUGGUUAAUUAUAUUAACCUGGAACACAAGUGAACACAGUUAGGUGUAAAUGGGAUCAGAUGUAGCUGCUGGACUAUACACUGGAUAACUUCAUGCAUCAACUCUCAUCUGUUCAGUAGAGUUUAUCCUGUAGCAGGAGUCACAUGUGAUAGCCUCUCCAUUUCGUCUGAUGUCAUUAUUAAUGUUGUCCUGCUCCACCAAAAUCUCUGGUCACAAGCAGCUGCAGAAUAAAUAUUUUACAGCAUGUUAAUUCUCUGGGACUGUAAUGUCACUGUGCUGAAUCACUCAAUGAAACAGCUACAAAGAAGAAAAGAACGAGAAUAAAAGCACGGCUUUGUUACUGCCUGCUUGUGGACAUUUCACAAAUCCGGA
Ictalurus punctatus (channel catfish) is the source of this 1565-nucleotide long non-coding RNA. The record is from Ensembl. NCBI's taxonomy places the organism in Eukaryota, Metazoa, Chordata, Actinopteri, Siluriformes, Ictaluridae.